Molecule: long non-coding RNA, 1450 nt
Organism: Sceloporus undulatus (fence lizard)
Lineage: Eukaryota; Metazoa; Chordata; Lepidosauria; Squamata; Phrynosomatidae
Exons: 3
Source: RefSeq, a predicted model, not a curated record
UUCUCCACAGGCACUUCAGGCCCCGGGAAUAUACAGUUAAAGCAACUCAAUUCCAUUACAUUGCAGUGCCUGAAAGAAAAGAACUUCAGCAGAGAGUGUGAGCUUUAAGGCAUUCUUCAUCCUGUGCUUUUGAAUUUCUCUUCCAUCAUGAGAGGAGAGAGCAAAGUUGUCAUCUUUACAAGAGAGAGAGAGAGAGAAGCUUGUAUUUCUGAUGCUACCGAUUCUCUGCCUACCCUGGAUAUAUUCAGCAUGGAGCUGUAGCUCAAAACAACAACAACACAUUUUAUGAAGAAGGCCCCAGGCUCAAAAUCUGGCAUGUCUAAGGAAAUCUGGAAGUCUAAGACCCAGGAGGGCUGCUGCAAAUCAGUCCAGACUAGGGGUGGGCAAAAUGUGGCCCCUUGAACCUACAAAGCUCCCCCUUUAAAAAUUAAAACCAUGUUGGACAAUAUUUUACAUAACUUUCCCCACUCCAAGAACUCACAACUGCUGCAAAAGGCAAUGGCUCUGCUCCCUCAACUCACUCCACAUACCCUCCUAGAAACAUGCCAUAAUUCCCUAAAUCAGCCAUAGAUUAAUCAAAAUUGGAAGUGACAUAACUCCAUUCCUGUUUUGAUUUUGCCUAAAUUAGAGCCAAAUUUGAACAUUUGUCCAGAAACAAAUAGUUCCUUUUUAAAAAGGAGUCUAGAGGAUUGUUUUACUUGUUUUCUCUAUCUGUAGGUUAACAUACAGCUCUGCUACUGCUGAUAAGAGUCUUGAGCUCUCUAGCAGUGUCAAAUGCUGCAGUGAGAAGUAGCUGAUCUGACUCUCUAGAACACGCAUUGGCAAGUCCUGUAAAGCUGCAUGAACCAGCAUCAAAAUGUCCUGUAACUGGUUCUGCAGAACCUGGUGGGGCCAUUUUAUUCAGAAUGGCUGUGGGGAUUACCAGAUUUGUAGAAUCCAAAAAGUCUUCAAGGCUAUCCUUUUGCAUGAGGAAGGAUUUCCCUCCUUCCCAAAGCUAGAUAUUUGGAUAGGGUAGAAGAAAAGCAGUGAAAGUGGUAGGGACCAUGUAAAUGGAAGCAGGAGGCAGUGUAUGUCUUACCAUUUGAUUUGGAAGGAAGUCUUUCCCUAUCCCUGACGUCCUGAAAUAUUGUCCAUGGAAUGCUUGGUUGCUGUCCUGCCUGUUACUUACACAAACAUUAGUAAUUGUGUACAAGUAUGCAGGUUUUGCAAGUUCAGUCUGGUUUCAGUAGUGAAUCAUCAUUAAGCUUCCAGAUUAAAUUAAAGGUGUGACAGCUGUCAUCAAUCAGCAAACAGCAUCACUCUGUAUGACGUCAUAGCAUCAACAUGAGAUUACAAAGCAUUACUGAUAAGUCUUGCAUGGAAAUUUUUUAUGUAGCUUUAAAAUAAUGUUGUAAUAAGCUGCCCUAUCCUCUUGAUGUUACUUUAUGCACAUAAAGAAAUAUAUUGGUUA